AAGUGGCAGGGGAGGGAGGAGAAUAGGAGGAAGGAGAAAGAGAAGAGAGGAGAGAAACCUCAGAGUCACAGCACAGUAGGAGGAUUGAAGUGCUGGUGGGAGAGAAUGUGCUGAGAAGGAGAUGGAGCAGCCCUAACCAGAUUUACCAAAUGAGCUUUCCUCAGAUCUCCAAAGAAGCCACUUAGGGUUACAACAGUUGAGUGUUAAAGAAAGUAUGCAUUUAGCAAGUGGCCGAAGACAUUUGCCGAGAUGCUUGUCCUCUGACCCCCUGCAGCUUGACUGAUGUAAUGGGAGAGAUAUGUUGGCUAUAUUUAUGCAGUCAAGCCUCCGAAGAGAUGGAAUUUAUCUGGACAUCACUGGAAAACAAAUUUUGUUGUGAAAACUCUGAAGAUGUGUUUUCUCGAGAGCAUCUGAAAGGAGGAGUUUACAGAGCCAUCCUUCUAAGGGUCUGUGAUUCCAUUGCCUUUUUGGUGGUGCUCCUAAUUCCUUCAUGACCCGGCUGAUACAAUUGUGAACUAGGAAGUAGGAUUCAACCAAGACUCCAACUUGCAGGCCCCUUGAUCAGUGCUUUGCCUCUAAAUAACAAGUUUACCUGACUAAAAAGACCAGGUGUCUAAUCGACUUGGCUGGUUGUGCUGACAGAUAUUUGAUGUGACAUCCAUUGACUACACUGACGGGAAUUUGAAUGAGUUCAAGUCAAAAUGUUUGAAUUCAUCAGUGGGGAGUGUCAACCAAUUUUUGCUCUGGAGAAAGCACUCAAAUGUCUGCAUUUUACAAUGAGGAAGUACAAGCUGUUUGGCCUCAAGAAAUAAGUGAUCCAAGAGGAGAUUUCUUUGAAAGGACCUGAGUGAUAUUUUGUGUCUUCUGAUCUCUUGUAAGAACCUGAGUUUGUUCAGGAAAGACCAACUCAUGUGCCCAUUACAAUUACAUGGUCUCUGGGGGAAAGUAAAAGCAGUGGAAGUGA
Prionailurus viverrinus (fishing cat) is the source of this 964-nucleotide long non-coding RNA. RefSeq lists it as uncharacterized. The record is from RefSeq and is a predicted model, not a curated record. The transcript has 4 exons. Lineage: Eukaryota; Metazoa; Chordata; Mammalia; Carnivora; Felidae.